GUAAAUCUCCAGAUAAAGCCUGAAGCUUAACUCCAGAAAGUCUGAAGAGACUGCAAGACUUGAGAUCGGGUGAGGUUAAACGUACUUUCAGGGUAGGGGUAAAAUCCUGUAAUCCCGGAAGGACGACCAGUGGCGAAAGCGUUUAACUAGAACGAAUCUGACGGUAAGGAACGAAGGCUAGGGUAGCAAACCGGAUUAGAUACCCGGGUAGUCCCAGCUGUAAACAUUGCCCAUUUGAUGUUGCUUUCCCGUUGAGGGAAGGCAGUGUCGGAGCGAAGGUGUUAAAUGGGCCGCUUGGGAAGUAUGGUCGCAAGACUGAAACUUAAAGGAAUUGGCGGGGGAGCACCGCAACGGGAGGAAUGUGCGGUUUAAUUGGAUUCAACGCCGGAAAACUCACCGGGAACGACCUGUGCAUGAGAGUCAACUUGACGAGCUUACUCGAUAGCAGGAGAGGUGGUGCAUGGCCGUCGUCAGCUCGUACCGUAGGGCGUUCACUUAAGUGUGAUAACGAGCGAGACCCACAUCUUUAAUUGCAAAUGUAUAUGGGAAUAUGCAUGCACUUUAGAGAAACCGCCAGCGCUAAGCUGGAGGAAGGAGUGGUCGACGGCAGGUCAGUACGCCCCGAAUUUCCCGGGCUACACGCGCAUUACAAAGAACGGGACAAUACGUUGCAACCUCGAAUGAGGGAGCCAAUCGCGAAACCCGUCCAUAGUUAGGAUUGAGGGCUGUAACUCGCC
This 737-nucleotide ribosomal RNA is filed under the name uncultured bacterium. RNAcentral describes it as "bacterial SSU rRNA". It matches the Rfam family "Archaeal small subunit ribosomal RNA", at positions 533 to 1272 of the family's 1478-position model. The record is from RNAcentral.